Molecule: ribosomal RNA, 450 nt
Filed under: uncultured bacterium
Lineage: Bacteria
Description: bacterial SSU rRNA
Rfam family: Bacterial small subunit ribosomal RNA
Source: RNAcentral
GUGGGGAAUAUUGGACAAUGGGCGAAAGCCUGAUCCAGCCAUGCCGCGUGUGUGAAGAAGGUCUUCGGAUUGUAAAGCACUUUAAGUUGGGAGGAAGGGCAGUAAGUUAAUACCUUGCUGUUUUGACGUUACCGACAGAAUAAGCACCUGCUAACUUCGUGCCAGCAGCCGCGGUAAUACGAAGGGUGCAAGCGUUAAUCGGAAUUACUGGGCGUAAAGCGCGCGUAGGUGGUUUUGUAAGUUGGAGAUGAAAUCCCCGGGCUCAACCUGGGAACUGCCUACAAAACUGCAUGACUAGAGUACGGUAGAGGGUAGUGGAAUUUCCUGUGUAGCGGUGAAAUGCGUAGAUAUAGGAAGGAACACCAGUGGCGAAGGCGACUACCUGGACUGAUACUGACACUGAGGUGCGAAAGCGUGGGGAGCAAACAGGAUUAGAAACCCCGGUAGUCC